UUUAUUAAUCAAUGAGCUGAAUAAGCAUAU
Molecule: transfer RNA, 30 nt
Filed under: Paratrichocladius sp. 1 MEC-2013
Lineage: Eukaryota; Metazoa; Arthropoda; Insecta; Diptera; Chironomidae
Description: partial tRNA-Ser
Source: RNAcentral